AACCUCCACCGAGUUUUCAGGAUUCUCCUCCUCUCCUGCCUGCCUCCGAGGUCCCCCUUCUCCAAGUUUUGACAGUUUCAACUGAAAAAAUGCAGCGCCUCUCUCGAUUUUUAGAUCGAGCCUGCGUGCUGCCGAAGCAGGGCGCCGAGUCCAUGCGAACUGCCAUCUGAUCCGCUCUUAUCAAUGAAGCAGCCGAUCAUGGCGGAUGGCCCCCGGUGCAAGAGGCGCAAACAAGCCAAUCCCAGGAGGAAAAACGGGUCAUCAAGAUUGUCAGAAAAGGCCUGGACUACAUGCCUGUCCCAGCACUAGAUUGUGGUGAACUAUGACAAUGUAGUGGACACAGGUUCUGAAACAGAUGAGGAAGACAAGCUUCAUAUUGCUGAGGAUGACGGUAUUGCCAACCCUCUGGACCAGGAGACGAGUCCAGCUAGUGUGCCCAACCAUGAGUCCUCCCCACACGUGAGCCAAGCUCUGUUGCCAAGAGAGGAAGAGGAAGAUGAAAUAAGGGAGGGUGGAGUGGAACACCCCUGGCACAACAACGAGAUUCUACAAGCCUCUGUAGAUGGUCCAG
This 571-nucleotide long non-coding RNA is filed under the name Homo sapiens (human). Its description in RNAcentral is "non-protein coding lnc-ZEB2-1:9". Lineage: Eukaryota; Metazoa; Chordata; Mammalia; Primates; Hominidae. The record is from RNAcentral.